This 1053-nucleotide ribosomal RNA is filed under the name Triticum aestivum (bread wheat). RNAcentral describes it as "partial small subunit ribosomal RNA". The record is from RNAcentral. Lineage: Eukaryota; Viridiplantae; Streptophyta; Magnoliopsida; Poales; Poaceae.
AUGGUGGGGAUCACGGUGCCCAUGUCCAUGGACAAGGUCCCACUGGUGAAAUGCGCUAAUGCGGCGGCGGUUCCGACUGUCGACCUGUCGGCGGCGGGCGCGGCGGCGGCCGUGGAGCAGGCAUGCCGCAGCGUGGGCAUCUUCAGGGCGAUCAACCACGGCGUGCCGACCGCCCUCGCAGACGCGCUGGAGGCCGGCGCCGCGGCCUUCUUCGCGCUGCCGCACAAGAGCAAGCUGGAGGCGUCGGCGACCCCCUUGGGCUACGGCAGCAAGAGCAUCGGCCGCAACGGCGACGUGGGCUGGCUCGAGUACAUCCUUCUCUCCGUCGGGUCCGGCUCCGUCGCCGCCGCCUCCCUGCCGCCGCCGCUCGGGGCGGCGCUGGAGGAGUACACGGACGCGGUACGCGAGGUGGGAGCGCGCGUGCUGGAGCUCAUGGCGGAGGGGCUGGGGCUCGCGGAGGAGAACCGCGGCGUGCUGCGGCGGGUGGUGGCGUCGGACGAAGCUGACAAGAUGGUGCGCGUGAACCACUACCCGCCGUGCCCGUGCCCCCUGGCGGCAGGGCAGCGCGGCGUGACGGGGUUCGGGGAGCACACGGACCCGCAGGUCAUCUCCCUUCUCCGGUCCAACCGCACCGGGGGCCUCCAGAUCAUGCUCCCGGACGGCCACUGGGUGCCCGUGGCCCCCGACCCGGAUUCCCUCUUCGUCAACGUCGGGGACUCCCUGCGGGUGCUGACCAACGGGCGGUUCCAGAGCGUGAAGCACCGGGUGGUGGCGCCGGCGGAUGGGGAGCAGUCGCGGCUGUCGGUGAUCUACUUCGGCGGGCCCGCGCCGACGCAGCGGAUCGCGCCGCUGCCGGAGCUGAUGCGGGAAGGGGAGCUGAGCAUGUACAGGGACUUCACCUGGGCCGAGUACAAGAAGGCCGCCUACAAGUCCCGCCUCGGCGACAACCGCCUCGACCCCUUCGAGCUCUUCCCCGCCGCCGCCCAAGACUGCAGCAGCAACGCCGUCCAGCCGCCGGCGCCGGCGCCACCUCACGUGGCACCAGUGCACUAG